Molecule: long non-coding RNA, 826 nt
Filed under: Actinidia chinensis (golden kiwifruit)
Lineage: Eukaryota; Viridiplantae; Streptophyta; Magnoliopsida; Ericales; Actinidiaceae
Description: long non-coding RNA (ACHI_LNC003590)
Source: RNAcentral
UCCAAAAAUAAAACCUGGUCCCGUCCAUGAUGGCGAUGACCUAUUGCACAACCGCCGCCGCCAAAGGGUAGGCAGAUAAAUGCUCCAAGCCUCCAACCCAGGUUGGGUAUUCACUGUCCUCUUUGACUGAUGUAUACAUUAUAUUCUAAAAUCAAUCCAAAAACGUGUACUCUUGAAUGAGCAUACCAGGUGAAGAAAAAGAAGGUUGAUGGGUUCUUUGAACAUGUUUCUCCAUCUUGAGCAAGGAUGGAUAUGGGAGUGCAUGGAGAUGAUUGCAGCCUCAAAAGUUAAAAAAUAUUUACUAAUUAUAUUAUAAAUUUUAAUAUAAUACAAAAAUUAUAUAGACUAACCCCCAAAAUUUUUUAAAAAUAAUUUUAAAAUUAUAGAAAUUAACCCUCUUAAAAAUCCUGGAUCUCGAGUUUUUCAAUUCCUUUGACCGCCCUUAAAUUUCCAGAACAUAAAACCCUAAUUUCUACCCCAAAUCUUAUAAAUCUCCUAGAUUAAACCUUUGAUUCAACUAUCUAACUUCACAAUCUCGAACUUUUUCUUUGAUUCUUUAUGUGUAUUAACUCAGAUGAGGCCAUUUUUUGAUUGAAUUAUUUUUAGGGCAGUUUAUGGUGAAGUUUUACAUGAAUAAAGCAAGAAAUCCAUGAUCGUCCUCUUCUUCAAGGUCGAUUUUGGCUCGGUCGAUCACAUGGAGCUUUCAUGAAUUCCAAGUUUGGACCGGAGAGGAGGAUUGUCAAGCAUAGAGUGGUCGGCCUAUAAUUUUGUGUGAUUUAUCAUGGUUUGAAGAGUGAGAAAGGUGAUUGAAGAGAGAGAAUAGUAG